Molecule: ribosomal RNA, 359 nt
Filed under: uncultured prokaryote
Description: partial 16S ribosomal RNA
Source: RNAcentral
CCCUAUGGGGCGCAGCAGGCUACUUCAUCAGGGUGCUUGGUGGUGGAUAUGCCAACGCUAAGAAGUAUGUCCAUGAUGGGCUUGUGGCCACCGAGACCGAGACAUUCUAUGGGGGCAACGCUGAGGGACCUUACGAUCUGGGCUACAAAUGCUAUACUCAGAACGUGGCCAAUAGCGUAAAAAUAGGCGCGGGCGAACCUAUACCUAUCGUCUAUACGGCGACUGGCCUGACCACCGGCAAAGUCUAUCUUGACCAGGAGAACGGCACUCUGACCUUCUUCACAGCACAAGGCCCGGAGGCUGACGAGCUGGUCACAUGCUCCCUGGAGCACUAUGGCAACCUCGGUGCAUGGGAGAGC